RNAcentral lists this ribosomal RNA (486 nucleotides) under uncultured bacterium. RNAcentral's name for it is "partial 16S ribosomal RNA". It matches the Rfam family "Bacterial small subunit ribosomal RNA", at positions 28 to 507 of the family's 1533-position model. The record is from RNAcentral.
GAUGAGCGCUGGCGGCGUGCCUAAUACAUGCAAGUCGAACGCUGGAAAUCUAGCUUGCUAGAUUGAAGGAGUGGCGAACGGGUGAGUAAUACAUAAGCAACCUACCCACGAAGACUGGGAUAAUCUCUGGAAACGGGGACUAAUACCGGAUAGGUAAUCGGAAGGCAUCUUCUGAUUAUUAAAGGUUAAAAACACUGGUGGAUGGGCUUAUGGCGCAUUAGUUAGUUGGUGAGGUAACGGCCCACCAAGACGAUGAUGCGUAGCCGGCCUGAGAGGGUGAACGGCCACAUUGGGACUGAGACACGGCCCAGACUCCUACGGGAGGCAGCAGUAGGGAAUUUUCGGCAAUGGGGGAAACCCUGACCGAGCAACGCCGCGUGAGUGAUGACGGCCUUCGGGUUGUAAAGCUCUGUUGUAAGGGAAGAACGGUAGAUAGAGAAUAUCUAAAUGACGGUACCUUACCAGAAAGCCGCGGCUAACUACGUG